CUGUUCUAGUCAGUGUCCUUGACAAAGAUCUCAGUGAAAGAACCGUAAUGCAGCAUCCACAAAUACUGUUCUAUUGCCAAGCAGGAAGGCUUCUUAAUCCUAGCACAUUUGCUGGAUGGUUUGGCCGGUCUCUCUUUCACGCUAUUGUUGUCUUUGUCAUCACCAUACAUGCAUAUGCUUUUGAGAAAAGUGAGAUGGAAG
This 201-nucleotide unclassified non-coding RNA is filed under the name Hevea brasiliensis (rubber tree). The record is from RNAcentral. Lineage: Eukaryota; Viridiplantae; Streptophyta; Magnoliopsida; Malpighiales; Euphorbiaceae.